This 490-nucleotide ribosomal RNA is filed under the name uncultured bacterium. RNAcentral describes it as "partial 16S ribosomal RNA". It matches the Rfam family "Bacterial small subunit ribosomal RNA", at positions 30 to 507 of the family's 1533-position model. The record is from RNAcentral.
AUUGAACGCUGGCGGCAGGCCUAACACAUGCAAGUCGAACGGUAACAGGAAACAGCUUGCUGUUUCGCUGACGAGUGGCGGACGGGUGAGUAAUGUCUGGGAAACUGCCUGAUGGAGGGGGAUAACUACUGGAAACGGUAGCUAAUACCGCAUAACGUCGCAAGACCAAAGAGGGGGACCUUCGGGCCUCUUGCCAUCGGAUGUGCCCAGAUGGGAUUAGCUAGUAGGUGGGGUAACGGCUCACCUAGGCGACGAUCCCUAGCUGGUCUGAGAGGAUGACCAGCCACACUGGAACUGAGACACGUUCCAGACUCCUACGGGAGGCAGCAGUGGGGAAUAUUGCACAAUGGGCGCAAGCCUGAUGCAGCCAUGCCGCGUGUAUGAAGAAGGCCUUCGGGUUGUAAAGUACUUUCAGCGGGGAGGAAGGGAGUAAAGUUAAUACCUUUGCUCAUUGACGUUACCCGCAGAAGAAGCACCGGCUAACUCCGUG